CAGGCAUUUUCACAGAUGGUGGCGGCCAGAGACUCCUGGGUCAGAGCUGAGACUCUGCAUCAAGAGCUUGGUUGGUGAUUGUGCUCAUCGGAGGAGCACA
This is a non-coding RNA of Vicugna pacos (alpaca), 100 nucleotides long. NCBI's taxonomy places the organism in Eukaryota, Metazoa, Chordata, Mammalia, Artiodactyla, Camelidae. The record is from RefSeq and is a predicted model, not a curated record.